This 72-nucleotide transfer RNA is filed under the name Pangasianodon hypophthalmus (striped catfish). It matches the Rfam family "tRNA". From Rfam's summary of the family: Transfer RNA (tRNA) molecules are approximately 80 nucleotides in length. The record is from Rfam by way of RNAcentral. Lineage: Eukaryota; Metazoa; Chordata; Actinopteri; Siluriformes; Pangasiidae.
CCCAUGGAGGACUAGUGGUUAGGCCACAGUGCUCUCACUGCUGCAUCCUGGGUUCGAUUCCUGGCCAGGGGU